RNAcentral lists this RNase P RNA (321 nucleotides) under Candidatus Altarchaeales archaeon IMC4. RNAcentral describes it as "Candidatus Altiarchaeales archaeon IMC4 RNase P RNA component". It matches the Rfam family "Archaeal RNase P". Rfam says of the family: Ribonuclease P (RNase P) is a ubiquitous endoribonuclease, found in archaea, bacteria and eukarya as well as chloroplasts and mitochondria. Its best characterised activity is the generation of mature 5'-ends of tRNAs by cleaving the 5'-leader elements of precursor-tRNAs. The record is from RNAcentral. Lineage: Archaea; Nanobdellati; Candidatus Altarchaeota; Candidatus Altarchaeia; Candidatus Altarchaeales.
GGUAGCGGCCGGGGGCCUCCGCGGCUUCGGCCGUGAGGAAGUUCCGUCCACCGCAAAUGCAGCCCUCACGGGACGCGCGAGAGUGCGGGAAGCAUCACAGAGACGAGCCGGCUUAAUGCGCACUAUGAGAGCAUUCGAGAUUGCAUUAAGCCUUGUGAAACGCAGGUGCCCUGCUGGUGCAACACCUUCGGGUGGCUAAGACGAACGCCCCAGAGCAAAUACUGGACACACGAGUGCUCGAAGCACUCGCGUGCACCAUUUGCAUAAAAGCAAAUGCGUGUGGCCUUUAAUGCUCACAGGAGACGGACUACUGCCGCUGCC